Molecule: long non-coding RNA, 1815 nt
Organism: Cottoperca gobio
Lineage: Eukaryota; Metazoa; Chordata; Actinopteri; Perciformes; Bovichtidae
Source: Ensembl
AUGGGGAUGGAAACCCUGCUGAAUGCUCCUCUACAUGCUUCUCAACAAAGGGAUAAGGUCAACUUCGAUACUGUGGGUGACUUAGGGGAGAAAACGGUGAUGUUCUCUGAUGAUGCAUUCAUGGACAUGACCCACAGUCACACUAUAAACAUUGCCAGUGAUGCAGAACUCCAAAGCUAUGUCGCUUUACCCACGAGAGGAGACAGAACCGUGAUGUUCACUGAGAAUGAUGCAUCCAUGGAUAUGACCCUCAGUGUUCCAGUAUCACUACCCAUGAGUAGAAACAUGGAUUCGAGUGUAGAGAAGAAAAACAUAUCUUCAUCAGUGCCAUCGUUGGAUCCUGGAUUUGAAAACUUCUUUGCAAGUCUUUCUAAACCAAGGGGCGCAAAUCCUGCGAUCCCCAGAAUGACGUCUGCUGCUGGCGCAUCCUCUGAAGAAACAAACGGCUCCGUGGGCCAGAUAAAAACCCAAGGCGCUGAUGUGGACAAAGAAAAUCAGGCUCCAACUUCAGUUUCAGCUGUGAUGAGGAAGUCACUAAAUGCAUCCAGGAAGAUUGGUGAAUUAUCUUACGGAAGUGCCCUCUGUCCGGAAGAUGAUUUGAGCAUGGAUAUGACUGAAGCUCAGACAGGCCGCAUUAUAGGACUCACUGAUGAUCACUUUCAGUUUCUCUUUCCCACACAAGACAUGUACUCUCACCGUGACAACAGAGUGCCGCAGACAGCAGAGAAGACCAAACCGCAGAUCAGUAAAACAUCGACAUCAUUCAACCCUAAAGAUGUGACAUCUUGGACGAAUCCUUCUCGGCAUGCUUCUCAUCAAAGCCUCAAGGUCAACCUUGAUGCACAAGAUGAAGGCAGAGAGAAAACAAUAAUGUCCACUGCAGGUGAUGAGUUUAUGGAUAUGACUCGGAGUCACACCGUUCGCAUUGCCAGUGGUUCAUUAGCUCUUCCGAACCAAAACGUGGACAUUUUUCACCCUCGUGGGAAAAUGGACGACGCUUCAUCUCUGCAGGAGCGAAACCCGCCUGGCUCGUCAGCUAAUUGUUUGGAUCUAGGAUUAAAAAACUUCCUUUCAAGUCUCUAUAAAGCAGGCACCCCCAGUGGUAAUCCUUCUACUGCAGCAUCCUCUGAGGAAACUGUCAACACAAACCGCUCCCUGUCGCAGCUUGAAAGUAAUGUUGGUAAAGAAAAUCGGUCAACAAGGAGCUUUGGAGAAUCUUUUAAUGGAGGCACAAUCUGUCCUGAAAAUGAUGUGAGCAUGGAUAUGACUGAAGCUCAGACGGGCCGCAUUGUAGGACUCACUGGCUCAGAUGAUCCUUUCCAGUUUCUCUUUCCCACACAAGACAAGUACCCCCACGGUGAAAGUCUGAGGACACAAGAGAUCACUUCAGGACCGAAGAGCAGCGAAGUGCUGGGAUCAUCUCACCGUCUGGAACCCUCAUUGAAGCCACUUUUGAAGACAAAUGUACAAAGAAAUCCGGUCAAAUUUGACACCGAAGACGACUACAGAGAGAAAACAGUGAGGUUUUCUGCAGAUGACGCCUGUAUGGAUGUAACACGAAGUCACACUGUAAAUAUUUCAGCUGAUUUACAACGGCAAUCGCUCCAAAAUGUGGCCUUUUUACCUGCAUGUGGAGAGAAGACCGUGAGGUUCACUGCAAACGAUGCAGCGAUGGAUAUGACCCAGAGCCUCACUGUGAACAUUUCCAGUAAUUUAGCAUCGGAUUCAGUUCCUGUGAAGAAACAAGAAGGUGUGAGAUGUGGUCCGCCUACAAACAGAUCCUUCAUCAGCACGCAGUUUGGAUCCAAGGUUUAA